Molecule: ribosomal RNA, 445 nt
Filed under: uncultured prokaryote
Description: bacterial SSU rRNA
Rfam family: Bacterial small subunit ribosomal RNA
Source: RNAcentral
UAAGGAAUAUUGGGCAAUGGGGGAGACCCUGACCCAGCCAUCCCGCGUGUGGGACGACGGCGCUCAGCGUUGUAAACCACUUUUGGGCAGGAAGAACGGCCUCUACGUGUAGGGGUGUGACGGUACUGCCAGAAUAAGCACCGGCUAACUCCGUGCCAGCAGCCGCGGUAAUACGGGGGGUGCGAGCGUUAUCCGGAAUUACUGGGUUUAAAGGGUGCGUAGGCGGCGCUCUAAGUCCGAGGUGAAAGGCCGGGGCCCAACCCCGGGACGGCCUCGGAUACUGGGGCGCUCGAGUCGGGAUGAGGUCGGCGGAAUGCGGCAUGUAGCGGUGAAAUGCUUAGAGAUGCCGUAGAACACCGAUUGCGAAGGCAGCUGACUGGCCCUUCGACUGACGCUGAGGCACGAAAGCGUGGGGAGCGAACGGGAUUAGAUACCCCCGUAGUCC